Molecule: ribosomal RNA, 253 nt
Filed under: uncultured bacterium
Lineage: Bacteria
Description: partial 16S ribosomal RNA
Rfam family: Bacterial small subunit ribosomal RNA
Source: RNAcentral
UACGGAGGGUGCAAGCGUUAAUCGGAAUUACUGGGCGUAAAGCGCACGCAGGUGGCUGAGUCAGUCGAUUGUGAAAGCCCUGGGCUUAACCUGGGAAUUGCAGUCGAUACUACUCGGCUCGAGUAUGGGAGAGGGCAGUGGAAUUCCCGGUGUAGCGGUGAAAUGCGUAGAUAUCGGAAGGAACACCAGCGGCGAAGGCGGCCAUCUGGACGGUGACUGACGCUCAGACGCGAAAGCGUGGGGAGCAAACAGG